GACGAACGCUGGCGGCGUGCUUAACACAUGCAAGUCGAACGGAAAGGCCCUGCUUUUGUGGGGUGCUCGAGUGGCGAACGGGUGAGUAACACGUGAGUAACCUGCCCUUGACUUUGGGAUAACUUCAGGAAACUGGGGCUAAUACCGGAUAGGAGCUCCUGCUGCAUGGUGGGGGUUGGAAAGUUUCGGCGGUUGGGGAUGGACUCGCGGCUUAUCAGCUUGUUGGUGGGGUAGUGGCUUACCAAGGCUUUGACGGGUAGCCGGCCUGAGAGGGUGACCGGCCACAUUGGGACUGAGAUACGGCCCAGACUCCUACGGGAGGCAGCAGUGGGGAAUAUUGCACAAUGGGCGGAAGCCUGAUGCAGCAACGCCGCGUGCGGGAUGACGGCCUUCGGGUUGUAAACCGCUUUCGCCUGUGACGAAGCGUGAGUGACGGUAAUGGGUAAAGAAGCACCGGCUAACUACGUGCCAGCAGCCGCGGUGAUACGUAGGGUGCGAGCGUUGUCCGGAUUUAUUGGGCGUAAAGGGCUCGUAGGUGGUUGAUCGCGUCGGAAGUGUAAUCUUGGGGCUUAACCCUGAGCGUGCUUUCGAUACGGGUUGACUUGAGGAAGGUAGGGGAGAAUGGAAUUCCUGGUGGAGCGGUGGAAUGCGCAGAUAUCAGGAGGAACACCAGUGGCGAAGGCGGUUCUCUGGGCCUUUCCUGACGCUGAGGAGCGAAAGCGUGGGGAGCGAACAGGCUUAGAUACCCUGGUAGUCCACGCUGUAAACGGUGGGUACUAGGUGUGGGGUCCAUUCCACGGGUUCCGUGCCGUAGCUAACGCUUUAAGUACCCCGCCUGGGGGAGUACGGCCGCAAGGCUAAAACUCAAAGGAAUUGACGGGGCCCCGCACAAGCGGCGGAGCAUGCGGAUUAAUUCGAUGCAACGCGUAGAACCUUACCUGGGUUUGACAUGGAUCGGGAGUGCUCAGAGAUGGGUGUGCCUCUUUUGGGGUCGGUUCACAGGUGGUGCAUGGCUGUCGUCAGCUCGUGUCGUGAGAUGUUGGGUUAAGUCCCGCAACGAGCGCAACCCUUGUUCACUGUUGCCAGCACGUUAUGGUGGGGACUCAGUGGAGACCGCCGGGGUCAACUCGGAGGAAGGUGGGGAUGACGUCAAGUCAUCAUGCCCCUUAUGUCCAGGGCUUCACGCAUGCUACAAUGGCUGGUACAGAGAGUGGCGAGCCUGUGAGGGUGAGCGAAUCUCGGAAAGCCGGUCUCAGUUCGGAUUGGGGUCUGCAACUCGACCUCAUGAAGUCGGAGUCGCUAGUAAUCGCAGAUCAGCAACGCUGCGGUGAAUACGUUCCCGGGGCUUGUACACACCGCCCGUCAAGUCAUGAAAGUUGGUAACACCCGAAGCCGGUGGCCUAACCGUUGUGGGGGAGCCGUCGAAGGU
Molecule: ribosomal RNA, 1429 nt
Filed under: uncultured organism
Description: 16S ribosomal RNA
Rfam family: Bacterial small subunit ribosomal RNA
Source: RNAcentral